CAGCUCUCCGAGUAGUGUGGAUGUUUAUUGGGCCUAAAGCAUCCGUAGCUUGCUAUGCAAGUCCCUUGUUAAAUCCACCGAUUUAAUCGUUGGAUUGCGGGGGAUACUGUUUGGCUAGGGGACGGGAGAGGCCGACGGUAUUUCCGAGGUAGGGGGGAAAUCCUAUAAUCCCGGGAGGACCACCAGUGGCGAAGGCUGUCGGCUAGAACGCGCCCGACGGUGAGGGAUGAAAGCUGGGGAGCGAACCGGAUUAGAUACCCGGGUAGUCCCAGCUGUAAACGAUGCAGGCUAGGUGUUUGGGCGGCCACGAGCCCGCCCCUAGUGCCGCAGGGAAGCUGUUAAGCCUGCCGCCUGGGGAGUACGGCCGCAAGGCUG
RNAcentral lists this ribosomal RNA (375 nucleotides) under uncultured organism. RNAcentral describes it as "partial 16S ribosomal RNA". It matches the Rfam family "Archaeal small subunit ribosomal RNA", at positions 477 to 851 of the family's 1478-position model. The record is from RNAcentral.